UGGGGCGUCGCCAAGCGGCAAGGCACGGGGUUUUGAUCUCCGCAUUCGAAGGUUCGAAUCCUUCCGCCCCAGCCA
This 75-nucleotide transfer RNA is filed under the name bacterium. RNAcentral's name for it is "tRNA-Gln". It matches the Rfam family "tRNA". Rfam says of the family: Transfer RNA (tRNA) molecules are approximately 80 nucleotides in length. Their secondary structure includes four short double-helical elements and three loops (D, anti-codon, and T loops). Further hydrogen bonds mediate the characteristic L-shaped molecular structure. tRNAs have two regions of fundamental functional importance: the anti-codon, which is responsible for specific mRNA codon recognition, and the 3' end, to which the tRNAs corresponding amino acid is attached (by aminoacyl-tRNA synthetases). tRNAs cope with the degeneracy of the genetic code in two manners: having more than one tRNA (with a specific anti-codon) for a particular amino acid; and 'wobble' base-pairing, i.e. permitting non-standard base-pairing at the 3rd anti-codon position. RNAcentral also lists the same sequence under 5 other names. The record is from RNAcentral.